This 1550-nucleotide ribosomal RNA is filed under the name Enterobacter hormaechei. RNAcentral describes it as "bacterial SSU rRNA". It matches the Rfam family "Bacterial small subunit ribosomal RNA". The record is from RNAcentral. Lineage: Bacteria; Pseudomonadati; Pseudomonadota; Gammaproteobacteria; Enterobacterales; Enterobacteriaceae.
AAAUUGAAGAGUUUGAUCAUGGCUCAGAUUGAACGCUGGCGGCAGGCCUAACACAUGCAAGUCGAGCGGUAGCACAGAGAGCUUGCUCUCGGGUGACGAGCGGCGGACGGGUGAGUAAUGUCUGGGAAACUGCCUGAUGGAGGGGGAUAACUACUGGAAACGGUAGCUAAUACCGCAUAACGUCGCAAGACCAAAGAGGGGGACCUUCGGGCCUCUUGCCAUCAGAUGUGCCCAGAUGGGAUUAGCUAGUAGGUGGGGUAACGGCUCACCUAGGCGACGAUCCCUAGCUGGUCUGAGAGGAUGACCAGCCACACUGGAACUGAGACACGGUCCAGACUCCUACGGGAGGCAGCAGUGGGGAAUAUUGCACAAUGGGCGCAAGCCUGAUGCAGCCAUGCCGCGUGUAUGAAGAAGGCCUUCGGGUUGUAAAGUACUUUCAGCGGGGAGGAAGGUGUUGAGGUUAAUAACCUCAGCAAUUGACGUUACCCGCAGAAGAAGCACCGGCUAACUCCGUGCCAGCAGCCGCGGUAAUACGGAGGGUGCAAGCGUUAAUCGGAAUUACUGGGCGUAAAGCGCACGCAGGCGGUCUGUCAAGUCGGAUGUGAAAUCCCCGGGCUCAACCUGGGAACUGCAUUCGAAACUGGCAGGCUAGAGUCUUGUAGAGGGGGGUAGAAUUCCAGGUGUAGCGGUGAAAUGCGUAGAGAUCUGGAGGAAUACCGGUGGCGAAGGCGGCCCCCUGGACAAAGACUGACGCUCAGGUGCGAAAGCGUGGGGAGCAAACAGGAUUAGAUACCCUGGUAGUCCACGCCGUAAACGAUGUCGACUUGGAGGUUGUGCCCUUGAGGCGUGGCUUCCGGAGCUAACGCGUUAAGUCGACCGCCUGGGGAGUACGGCCGCAAGGUUAAAACUCAAAUGAAUUGACGGGGGCCCGCACAAGCGGUGGAGCAUGUGGUUUAAUUCGAUGCAACGCGAAGAACCUUACCUACUCUUGACAUCCAGAGAACUUUCCAGAGAUGGACUGGUGCCUUCGGGAACUCUGAGACAGGUGCUGCAUGGCUGUCGUCAGCUCGUGUUGUGAAAUGUUGGGUUAAGUCCCGCAACGAGCGCAACCCUUAUCCUUUGUUGCCAGCGGUUAGGCCGGGAACUCAAAGGAGACUGCCAGUGAUAAACUGGAGGAAGGUGGGGAUGACGUCAAGUCAUCAUGGCCCUUACGAGUAGGGCUACACACGUGCUACAAUGGCGCAUACAAAGAGAAGCGACCUCGCGAGAGCAAGCGGACCUCAUAAAGUGCGUCGUAGUCCGGAUUGGAGUCUGCAACUCGACUCCAUGAAGUCGGAAUCGCUAGUAAUCGUAGAUCAGAAUGCUACGGUGAAUACGUUCCCGGGCCUUGUACACACCGCCCGUCACACCAUGGGAGUGGGUUGCAAAAGAAGUAGGUAGCUUAACCUUCGGGAGGGCGCUUACCACUUUGUGAUUCAUGACUGGGGUGAAGUCGUAACAAGGUAACCGUAGGGGAACCUGCGGUUGGAUCACCUCCUUACCUUAAAGAA